GCCUGGCUGGCUUAGUUGGUAGAGCAUGUGAUUCUGGAUGUUAGGGUCUUGAGUUCAAACCCCACGUUGGGCA
This is a non-coding RNA of Canis lupus familiaris (dog), 73 nucleotides long. Lineage: Eukaryota; Metazoa; Chordata; Mammalia; Carnivora; Canidae. The record is from Rfam.